UACGGAGGGAGCAAGCGUUACUCGGAAUUACUGGGCGUAAAGCGUGCGCAGGCGGUUGUGCAAGACAGAUGUGAAAUCCCCGGGCUUAACCUGGGAAUGGCGAUGGAAACUGGCGGGCUGGAGUGCGGCAGAGGGGGGUGGAAUUCCACGUGUAGCAGUGAAAUGCGUAGAGAUGUGGAGGAACACCGAUGGCGAAGGCAGCCCCCUGGGCCGACACUGACGCUCAGGCACGAAAGCGUGGGGAGCAAACAGG
RNAcentral lists this ribosomal RNA (253 nucleotides) under uncultured bacterium. Its description in RNAcentral is "partial 16S ribosomal RNA". It matches the Rfam family "Bacterial small subunit ribosomal RNA", at positions 524 to 776 of the family's 1533-position model. The record is from RNAcentral.